Molecule: unclassified non-coding RNA, 407 nt
Filed under: soil metagenome
Description: partial contains 5.8S ribosomal RNA, internal transcribed spacer 2, and large subunit ribosomal RNA
Rfam family: 5.8S ribosomal RNA (bases 5-123)
Source: RNAcentral
GAUGGAAGAACGUAGCAAAAUGCGAUACUUGGUGUGAAUUGCAGAAUCCCGUGAACCAUCGAGUUUUUGAACGCAAGUUGCGCCCGAAGCCUUUUGGCCGAGGGCACGUCUGCCUGGGCGUCACGCAUCGCGUCGCCCCCCACAAUUCUCCGUAAGGGGAACUCGUGUUUUGGGGGCGGAUAUUGGUCUCCCGUGCUCAUGGCGUGGUUGGCCGAAAUAGGAGUCCCUUCGAUGGACGCACGAACUAGUGGUGGUCGUAAAAAAACCCUCGUCUUUUGUUUCGUGCUGUUAGUCGCAAGGGAAACUCUAAGAAAACCCCAACGUGUCGUCUUUUGACGGCGCUUCGACCGCGACCCCAGGUCAGGCGGGACUACCCGCUGAGUUUAAGCAUAUCAAUAAGCGGAGGA